AGAGGGCCCAGCUCAGGGCCGAGGCCCGUCCUGCCCCGCGCGGCGGGAGUGGUUGGAGCCGGAGGGCGGAUCUGUGCCUGGCCGAGGGUGUCCGUCGGCGUCACUCACCGUCCUCGGCCCGCCUCUGCGUCCACUAGGAGCGGCCUGAAAGAGGCCCGCACGCGGGCUCGAGCCGCGUGGAAUGCACCUAGAGCUGCAUUCCAUGUAUUCCUUGGCUUUUCGUCCUUUCCUCCAUCAUCAAGUAACUGGAUCUGUGAGCAUGAUGAACUUUGUUUUCCUGAGCUUGUCCUGUGUCUCCUCUUCUGGCCACACCUGACUGAGCAGAACAUAAAAGCGACAGAACACCAGGAGGGCUGCUGCUUGGGGAAAUUGUGUGAGAAGAGUCCUGGGGGACUAGGGGCAGGGCAAGCACUGCUCUCCCUCUCCUGGAGGCUGGGGAGAGCAUCAAGGAGACUACCAGGUAGGAGGAACCAUGGGCAGGGCCUCCCUCAUCAGGAUGCUUUCCCCACAACAGAGGGAUUUAAGCCCCUGGUGGGUGAGUCCUGGAUUAACCAAGACCUGAGCCUUUUGGGGGGUGCAGAGGACAGAGGACACUGUGAGGUGAGUUUCUCCUGGGUGGAUUCCCCAGGGGCCUCUGAGGCUGGUUUCAGGCCCUGCCCUUUGGCUGCCCCACUGGAAGCUCUGAGCAUCUACCCUUCAGGGACGCUUUCCCUGGUCUGACCUUGGCAAGGGCAAAUAAGAGGUACUCCAUGGAGGGUCACCAAGGUCUGGGGCGUAAACGGUGCCCAUCUGCACAGUAGCAUGAGGGCCACAGAGUGUGGUAAAUGUCAGUGACCAUCACAUGCGGUCCCCAGUGUGGCUGCAGGGGCCACUUAGGAUUCUUCUGUUCGGGGUCCCAGGCCACACUUGGGGAACCCUAUUGGAAGCAACAAGGUCUAGGCCCUGAGGGCCCAGGGCUCUGCCCUCUCCAGGGCUCUAGCUGAGCCACGUGCAAGCAUCCUCCCGGCCCUCCCAGCUGGUGUGAGGAGGAAACCACAGCCAAAGGGCAAGGUGCUCCACACAGAUAUGUCCCUAGUCAGCCUGCCCCAUUCGGCCUCUGGAGUGGGAGCCUUGGGUCUGUCUGGAACCAGUGUGGAUGAAAUGCAGGGAGAAACUGGAAUCAUAGCCAUGGACAGCCACUCACAUAGCUGGGAAGAGGCAUGCUGUGGUAGAUCCCGGUGGACUCUCACCUCUGCGGUGCUGGGGACGUUGUGCCGACACCUCAGGCACCCACUUCCACUCACACCGCGGAGGCUUGGGGAGAUGCGGUUCAGUCUGGAGUCCAGCGGGGGGCGACAAUAAAGGCGACCCCGCUCGUCAGUCAGACCAGGGCAAGCUUGCCAGGGCUUCACACUUCACCAAAGGGAACCCUUUCUGCCGCGACUACCGAGCUGCCAGGGCCGGGACAGGCAGAAGCCUGCCCCGAGGUCUCACCUCUGGAGGGUUACGAGCUGUGCCAGGCCGGCUACGGUAGAGGGUGUGCAAAUACCCCGCGGUCCCAAGGCUCCUGAAGCUGCCUAAGGGAUAUGAGAGACCCUAGGUUCGAAUCCUGCCUCCAUCGUCUUAUGUUCGUGCCUCAGGAGAGUCACUUUGCCCCGUUUCCUCGCAUACCAGAGAGCCCAGUAACACGCUCCGCGGCUCUGCGGAGAAAAAGACCCUAGAGAUCGUGGACACAGCGUCUGGGCCGUAUCAGCGCCCACUCGAGAUUAUUACUGCUUAUGCCUGCAACCGGAUGCUGUGCGCCCGGUUAGAAAAGGUCAAAUAAAACUCGAGUUAGGGGAAGCCUGUGGACGCCA
Molecule: long non-coding RNA, 1835 nt
Organism: Homo sapiens (human)
Lineage: Eukaryota; Metazoa; Chordata; Mammalia; Primates; Hominidae
Gene: ZNF497-AS1
Product: ZNF497 antisense RNA 1
Source: Ensembl